This 500-nucleotide ribosomal RNA is filed under the name uncultured bacterium. Its description in RNAcentral is "partial 16S ribosomal RNA". It matches the Rfam family "Bacterial small subunit ribosomal RNA", at positions 30 to 523 of the family's 1533-position model. The record is from RNAcentral.
AUUGAACGCUGGCGGCAUGCCUUACACAUGCAAGUCGAACGGUAACAGGGAGCUUGCUCCGCUGACGAGUGGCGAACGGGUGAGCAAUGUAUCGGAACGUACCUUUCAGUGGGGGAUAACGUAGCGAAAGUUACGCUAAUACCGCAUAUUCUCUGAGGAGGAAAGCAGGGGACCUUCGGGCCUUGCGCUGAUUGAGCGGCUGAUAUCAGAUUAGCUAGUUGGUGAGGUAAAGGCUCACCAAGGCGACGAUCUGUAGCGGGUCUGAGAGGAUGAUCCGCCACACUGGAACUGAGACACGGUCCAGACUCCUACGGGAGGCAGCAGUGGGGAAUUUUGGACAAUGGGGGCAACCCUGAUCCAGCCAUGCCGCGUGAGUGAAGAAGGCCUUCGGGUUGUAAAGCUCUUUCGGCCGGGAAAAAAUCGCAUGGGCUAAUACCCUGUGUGGAUGAUGGUACCGGAAUAAGAAGCACCGGCUAACUACGUGCCAGCAGCCGCAGUAA